AGAGUUUGAUCAUGGCUCAGAUUGAACGCUGGCGGCAGGCUUAACACAUGCAAGUCGAACGGUAACAGGGAGAAGCUUGCUUCUUUGCUGACGAGUGGCGGACGGGUGAGUAAUGCUUGGGAAUCUGGCUUAUGGAGGGGGAUAACUACGGGAAACUGUAGCUAAUACCGCGUAAUAUCUUCGGAUUAAAGGGUGGGACUUUCGGGCCACCUGCCAUAAGAUGAGCCCAAGUGGGAUUAGGUAGUUGGUGGGGUAAAGGCCUACCAAGCCGACGAUCUCUAGCUGGUCUGAGAGGAUGACCAGCCACACUGGAACUGAGACACGGUCCAGACUCCUACGGGAGGCAGCAGUGGGGAAUAUUGCACAAUGGGGGGAACCCUGAUGCAGCCAUGCCGCGUGAAUGAAGAAGGCCUUCGGGUUGUAAAGUUCUUUCGGUGAUGAGGAAGGUGUUUGUUUUAAUAGAACAAGCAAUUGACGUUAGUCACAGAAGAAGCACCGGCUAACUCCGUGCCAGCAGCCGCGGUAAUACGGAGGGUGCGAGCGUUAAUCGGAAUGACUGGGCGUAAAGGGCACGCAGGCGGUGACUUAAGUGAGAUGUGAAAGCCCCGAGCUUAACUUGGGAAUUGCAUUUCAUACUGGGUCGCUAGAGUAUUUUAGGGAGGGGUAGAAUUCCACGUGUAGCGGUGAAAUGCGUAGAGAUGUGGAGGAAUACCGAAGGCGAAGGCAGCCCCUUGGGAAUAUACUGACGCUCAUGUGCGAAAGCGUGGGGAGCAAACAGGAUUAGAUACCCUGGUAGUCCACGCUGUAAACGCUGUCGAUUUGGGGAUUGGGCUUAGAGCUUGGUGCCCGUAGCUAACGUGAUAAAUCGACCG
Molecule: ribosomal RNA, 872 nt
Filed under: uncultured bacterium
Lineage: Bacteria
Description: bacterial SSU rRNA
Rfam family: Bacterial small subunit ribosomal RNA
Source: RNAcentral